This 595-nucleotide ribosomal RNA is filed under the name uncultured bacterium. RNAcentral describes it as "partial 16S ribosomal RNA". It matches the Rfam family "Bacterial small subunit ribosomal RNA", at positions 355 to 934 of the family's 1533-position model. The record is from RNAcentral.
UGGGGAAUUUUGGACAAUGGGGGGCAACCCUGAUCCAGCAAUGCCGCGUGUGUGAAGAAGGCCUUCGGGUUGUAAAGCACUUUUGUCCGGAAAGAAAAACGUCGUGGUUAAUACCCGUGGCGGCUGACGGUACCGGAAGAAUAAGCACCGGCUAACUACGUGCCAGCAGCCGCGGUAAUACGUAGGGUGCAAGCGUUAAUCGGAAUUACUGGGCGUAAAGCGUGCGCAGGCGGUCCGCUAAGACAGAUGUGAAAUCCCCGGGCUUAACCUGGGAACUGCAUUUGUGACUGGCGGGCUAGAGUAUGGCAGAGGGGGGUAGAAUUCCACGUGUAGCAGUGAAAUGCGUAGAGAUGUGGAGGAAUACCGAUGGCGAAGGCAGCCCCCCUGGGGCCAAUACUGACGCUCAUGCACGAAAGGCGUGGGGGGAGCAAACAGGAUUCAGAUACCCUGGUAGUCCACGCCCUAAACGAUGUCAACUAGUUGUCGGGUCUUCAUUGACUUGGUAACGUAGCUAACGCGUGAAGUUGACCGCCUGGGGAGUACGGUCGCAAGAUUAAAAACUNAAAGGAAUUGACGGGGGUUCAUAGCUGUUUCC